This is a regulatory RNA element of Pseudomonas fluorescens HK44, 106 nucleotides long. It matches the Rfam family "Pseudomonas rnk leader". NCBI's taxonomy places the organism in Bacteria, Pseudomonadati, Pseudomonadota, Gammaproteobacteria, Pseudomonadales, Pseudomonadaceae. The record is from Rfam.
UAUGGCUGGCUUGUAUAUUUUUUGAGCUGUGAUAGUGUCCGGAUACGCCUCAACUCAUCGAGGCCCGUGAAAACCCCGCCUAUUUCUGGCGGGGUUUUGCUUUUGU